RNAcentral lists this ribosomal RNA (650 nucleotides) under uncultured bacterium. RNAcentral's name for it is "bacterial SSU rRNA". It matches the Rfam family "Bacterial small subunit ribosomal RNA", at positions 42 to 680 of the family's 1533-position model. The record is from RNAcentral.
GUUCAGGCCUAACACAUGCAAGUCGAGGGGCAGCGGGGAAAAGCUUGCUUUUCCGCCGGCGACCGGCGCACGGGUGCGGAACGCGUAUGGAACCUGCCCCUGUCAGGGGAAUAGCCCAGGGAAACUUGGAUUAAUGCCCCAUGGUAACACAAUAUCGCAUGAUGAUGUGUUUAAAGAUUUAUCGGACAGGGAUGGCCAUGCGUACCAUUAGCUUGUUGGUGAGGUAACGGCUCACCAAGGCAACGAUGGUUAGGGGCCCUGAGAGGGGGAUCCCCCACACUGGUACUGAGACACGGACCAGACUCCUACGGGAGGCAGCAGUGAGGAAUAUUGGACAAUGGUCGGGAGACUGAUCCAGCCAUGCCGCGUGCAGGAUGACUGCCCUAUGGGUUGUAAACUGCUUUUAUACGGGAAGAAACCUACCUUCGUGAAGGUAGCUGACGGUACCGUAAGAAUAAGGACCGGCUAACUCCGUGCCAGCAGCCGCGGUAAUACGGAGGGUCCGAGCGUUAUCCGGAAUCAUUGGGUUUAAAGGGUCCGUAGGCGGGCCUAUAAGUCAGGGGUGAAAGGCCACGGCUCAACCGUGGGGACUGCCUUUGAUACUGUAGGUCUUGAGUCGUUGUGGGGUUGCCGGAACAUGUGGUGUAGCG